CCUACGGGGUGCUGCAGUGGGGAAUAUUGGACAAUGGGCGAAAGCCUGAUCCAGCCAUGCCGCGUGUGUGAAGAAGGCCUUCGGGUUGUAAAGCACUUUCAGUGGGGAAGAAAGCCUUGGGGCUAAUACCCUCGAGGAAGGACAUCACCCACAGAAGAAGCACCGGCUAACUCCGUGCCAGCAGCCGCGGUAAUACGGAGGGUGCGAGCGUUAAUCGGAAUUACUGGGCGUAAAGCGCGCGUAGGCGGUCUGAUAAGCCGGUUGUGAAAGCCCCGGGCUCAACCUGGGAACGGCAUCCGGAACUGUCAGGCUAGAGUGCAGGAGAGGAAGGUAGAAUUCCCGGUGUAGCGGUGAAAUGCGUAGAGAUCGGGAGGAAUACCAGUGGCGAAGGCGGCCUUCUGGACUGACACUGACGCUGAGGUGCGAAAGCGUGGGUAGCAAACAGGAUUAGAUCCCGAGUAGUC
This 464-nucleotide ribosomal RNA is filed under the name Vreelandella stevensii. RNAcentral describes it as "partial 16S ribosomal RNA". It matches the Rfam family "Bacterial small subunit ribosomal RNA", at positions 338 to 795 of the family's 1533-position model. Lineage: Bacteria; Pseudomonadati; Pseudomonadota; Gammaproteobacteria; Oceanospirillales; Halomonadaceae. The record is from RNAcentral.